GAUGAACGCUGGCGGCGUGCCUAAUACAUGCAAGUCGAGCGAACAGACGAGGAGCUUGCUCCUCUGACGUUAGCGGCGGACGGGUGAGUAACACGUGGAUAACCUACCUAUAAGACUGGGAUAACUUCGGGAAACCGGAGCUGAUACCGGAUAAUAUAUUGAACCGCAUGGUUCAAUAGUGAAAGACGGUUUUGCUGUCACUUAUAGAUGGAUCCACGCCGCAUUAGCUAGUUGGUAAGGUAACGGCUUACCAAGGCAACGAUGCGUAGCCGACCUGAGAGGGUGAUCAGCCACACUGGAACUGAGACACGGUCCAGACUCCUACGGGAGGCAGCAGUAGGGAAUCUUCCGCAAUGGGCGAAAGCCUGACGGAGCAACGCCGCGUGAAUGAUGAAGGUCUUCGGAUCGUAAAACUCUGUUAUUAGGGAAGAACAAAUGUGUAAGUAACUAUGCACGUCUUGACGGUACCUAAUCAGAAAGCCACGGCUAACUACGUG
This 497-nucleotide ribosomal RNA is filed under the name uncultured bacterium. RNAcentral describes it as "partial 16S ribosomal RNA". It matches the Rfam family "Bacterial small subunit ribosomal RNA", at positions 28 to 507 of the family's 1533-position model. The record is from RNAcentral.